CUGCUGCCUUCCGUAGGAGUUUGGUCCGUGUCUCAGUACCAAUGUGGGGGGUUGACCUCUCAGUCCCCCUAUGUAUCGUCGCCUUGGUGAGCCGUUACCUCACCAACUAGCUAAUACAACGCAUGUCCAUCUCUGACCACCUGAGUUUUCAACUACCGAAGAUGCCUCCGGUGAUGUUAUGGGGUAUUAGUACCAAUUUCUCGAUGUUAUCCCCCUGUCAAAGGUAGGUUACAUACGCGUUACGCACCCGUCCGCCGGUCGCCGG
This 265-nucleotide ribosomal RNA is filed under the name uncultured bacterium. RNAcentral describes it as "partial 16S ribosomal RNA". The record is from RNAcentral.